CAACAGGGAUUGCCUCAGUAACUGCGAGUGAAGCGGCAAAAGCUCAAAUUUGAAAUCUGGCUCCUUCGGGGUCCGAGUUGUAAUUUGGAGGGGCAUCUUCGGGAUCGGCGCCGUCCUAAGUUCCUUGGAACAGGACGUCACAGAGGGUGAGAAUCCCGUGCCUGGGCGGCUGCCCGAUUCCAUGUGAAGUGCCUCCGACGAGUCGAGUUGUUUGGGAAUGCAGCUCAAAAUGGGUGGUAAAUUUCAUCUAAAGCUAAAUAUUGGCGAGAGACCGAUAGCGCACAAGUAGAGUGAUCGAAAGAUGAAAAGCACUUUGAAAAGAGAGUUAAAAAGUACGUG
RNAcentral lists this ribosomal RNA (339 nucleotides) under Sphaerosporella brunnea. Its description in RNAcentral is "eukaryotic LSU rRNA". It matches the Rfam family "Eukaryotic large subunit ribosomal RNA", at positions 66 to 401 of the family's 3401-position model. Lineage: Eukaryota; Fungi; Ascomycota; Pezizomycetes; Pezizales; Pyronemataceae. The record is from RNAcentral.